Molecule: transfer RNA, 80 nt
Filed under: Salipiger mucosus DSM 16094
Lineage: Bacteria; Pseudomonadati; Pseudomonadota; Alphaproteobacteria; Rhodobacterales; Roseobacteraceae
Rfam family: tRNA
About the family: Transfer RNA (tRNA) molecules are approximately 80 nucleotides in length. Their secondary structure includes four short double-helical elements and three loops (D, anti-codon, and T loops).
Source: Rfam by way of RNAcentral
GCGGGAGUGGCGAAACUGGUAGACGCACCGGCUUUAGGUGCCGGCGCUUCGGCGUGAGGGUUCGAGUCCCUCCUCCCGUA